UGUGUGCUGAAUGUGAUCAAGCACAUCCUGUUUGCAUCUUGUUUUGUACUGUUUUCACGCUGGUGGAAUGUACCUAGAGAGCCCAUUAGAAGUGGGGCUCUCUAGCAUACCUUCUGAUGCUGCGCUUGGAAGACAUGACGACAGCAAGCUGUGUAGUUUAUUGUACUCACAGGACAUCUUUGGCACUGAAUUUGUUGUAUUAUCAGGGGAAAGCACAAUGCAAAGAAUAAAUGGUGCAUGGAUUAUAAAGUGAUUUUGUCUUCUGAGCAUGGCCACACCAUGGAGAGCAGCCUUCUCUCUUGGACUGAUACAAUGAUCUUCACUUUGAGAGAAGAAACAGACAUUUCUAACAGUAGAGAGACUUCACAAGUACUGGUGCUGCUCCAGCUUGGUGUCGAGGAAGGCAGUUCUAAAUGGAUUCUGUAUCCAGGAGAGUAUAUUCCAACGUUGAGCACGUUAGCUGCAUGCACAAACAAGAUGAAGACAACAAGCACUCCAGAUUAUUAUAUUCCAAGAAAAGCCUGUUUUAAUGGAACCUGCCUCUGUUAUGUGCUAACCUGA
This 561-nucleotide long non-coding RNA is filed under the name Numida meleagris (helmeted guineafowl). RNAcentral's name for it is "lncRNA (ENSNMEG00000012819.1)". Lineage: Eukaryota; Metazoa; Chordata; Aves; Galliformes; Numididae. The record is from RNAcentral.